CAUGUGAGAACAUAGCUAGAACGUGCUGUCUGUGAGGAACAGGCCUUCACGAGAAACUGAAUCUGCUGGUGCUUUGAUCUUGGACUUCCCAGCUUCCAGAGCUGUUUUUCUGGAAACCGCUGUAAAAAAGGAAAGCAACUUCAACACGCAUUUCUAACUCAUUGAUAUGCCAAGUUCCUUUUGGAAUGAUAAGUUGCCAAGGACCAAAGCACUGUGACUUGUCAUCCCCAGUGAAUGAGAG
This 241-nucleotide long non-coding RNA is filed under the name Homo sapiens (human). The record is from RNAcentral. Lineage: Eukaryota; Metazoa; Chordata; Mammalia; Primates; Hominidae.